This 73-nucleotide transfer RNA is filed under the name Calditrichota bacterium. RNAcentral's name for it is "Calditrichaeota bacterium tRNA-Ala". It matches the Rfam family "tRNA". From Rfam's summary of the family: Transfer RNA (tRNA) molecules are approximately 80 nucleotides in length. Their secondary structure includes four short double-helical elements and three loops (D, anti-codon, and T loops). The record is from RNAcentral. Lineage: Bacteria; Pseudomonadati; Calditrichota.
GGGGCCGUAGCUCAGCUGGGAGAGCGGUACGUUCGCAACGUACAGGCCGUGGGUUCGAAUCCCAUCGGCUCCA